GGUAUACAGGCAAUACAUUAUAUGUAUUACAUAUAUAAUGCAUUGUACAUGAAACCUCUAGUAGCUGGUUCCUUCCGUAAAAGGUCGGGUUGCAGAGGGUGGUGUGGAGGCCUGCGGCGGACCGCACUUCUCCCUUAGUAGGACGUCGUGACCCGUCCGGUCAUGGUCAUAAGAGUGCGGGGUGGAGCCUGUCCGAUCGUGUUCGCACGUCUUCGGGCAGACCCCUGCGCUCUGGCCAUGAAUUUCGGUCGGUAUCGAAUGACAGUGUUAGGUCGCUUGCCGGCGGAGGAAACUCCUGCCAGUGAGUGCGUGUGGCUCUCGACAAGGUGCCGGGAUGUUGGGUCAAGGCGGGCUCCCGUCCGUCUGGCCCCACUCGGCCCUGUUGGUCUUGUUGCUCUCACGCUGGCCAAUUCUCAAAGACACUCGUCUACGGCGAAUCAGUUUUGGGCUCUUGUCCGACCCGUCUUGAAACACGGACCAAGGAGUUCAGCGUGUACGCGAGUCAUUGGGUGAAAAAACCCAAAGGCGUAAUGAAAGUGAAGGGAACUUUACGUUUCUGAGGGAGGAUGAGUCGGUUACCCGCAAGGGGCUGCUCCGCACUCCCGGGGCGUCUCUUUCUCAUUGCGAGUGGAGGCGCACCCAGAGCGUACACGCUGAUACCCGAAAGAUGGUGAACUAUGCCUGGCCAGGACGAAGCCAGGGGAAACCCUGGUGGAGGUCCGCAGCGAUUCUGACGUGCAAAUCGAUCGUCGGAGCUGGGUAUAGGGGCGAAAGACCAAUCGAACCAUCUAGUAGCUGGUUCCCUCCGAAGUUUCCCUCAGGAUAGCUUGCGCUCACGUGAAAGAGUCUCAUCCGGUAGAGCGAAUGAUUAGAGGCCUUGGGGUCGAAACGACCUCAACCUAUUCUCAAACUCCAAAUAGAUGAGAACUCCGGCUUUCUUGAACUUUGUUUUUGAAGCCGGGGGCUCGGAUCAGAGUGCCAAGUGGGCCAAUUUUGGUAAGCAGAAUGGCGCCUUUUGGGG
This 1021-nucleotide ribosomal RNA is filed under the name Eremotylus sp. Msp439. RNAcentral's name for it is "partial large subunit ribosomal RNA". It matches the Rfam family "Eukaryotic large subunit ribosomal RNA", at positions 510 to 1163 of the family's 3401-position model. The record is from RNAcentral. Lineage: Eukaryota; Metazoa; Arthropoda; Insecta; Hymenoptera; Ichneumonidae.